GACGAACGCUGGCGGCGUGCCUAAUACAUGCCAGUCGAACGCUGAAGGAGGAGCUUGCUUCUCUGGAUGAGUUGCGAACGGGUGAGUAACGCGUAGGUAACCUGCCUGGUAGCGGGGGAUAACUAUUGGAAACGAUAGCUAAUACCGCAUAAGAGUAGAUGUUGCAUGACAUUUGCUUAAAAGGUGCAAUUGCAUCACUACCAGAUGGACCUGCGUUGUAUUAGCUAGUUGGUGGGGUAACGGCUCACCAAGGCGACGAUACGUAGCCGACCUGAGAGGGUGAUCGGCCACACUGGGACUGAGACACGGCCCAGACUCCUACGGGAGGCAGCAGUAGGGAAUCUUCGGCAAUGGACGGAAGUCUGACCGAGCAACGCCGCGUGAGUGAAGAAGGUUUUCGGAUCGUAAAGCUCUGUUGUAAGAGAAGAACGAGUGUGAGAGUGGAAAGUUCACACUGUGACGGUAUCUUACCAGAAAGGGACGGCUAACUACGUG
RNAcentral lists this ribosomal RNA (495 nucleotides) under uncultured bacterium. RNAcentral's name for it is "partial 16S ribosomal RNA". It matches the Rfam family "Bacterial small subunit ribosomal RNA", at positions 28 to 507 of the family's 1533-position model. The record is from RNAcentral.